CCUACGGGGGGCAGCAGUGAGGAAUAUUGGUCAAUGGACGCAAGUCUGAACCAGCCAAGUAGCGUGCAGGAUGACGGCCCUCCGGGUUGUAAACUGCUUUUAUUUGGGAAUAAAAUGGGGCUCGUGAGCCCCGUAUUGUAUGUACCAUCAGAAAAAGGACCGGCUAAUUCCGUUCCAGCAGCCGCGGUAAUACGGAAGGUCCGGGCGUUCUCCGGAUUUAUUGGUGUUAAAGGGCGCGUAGGCCGGCUUUUAAGUCAGCUGUGAAAGUCCGCGGCUCAACCGUGGAAUUGCAGUUGAAACUGGAGGCCGUGAGUGCACACAGGGAGGCCGGAAUUCAUGGUGUAGCGGUGAAAUGCUUAGAUAUCAUGAAGAACUCCGAUCGCGAAGGCAAGUGUCCGGGGUGCAACUGACGCUGAGGCUCGAAAGUGCGGGUAUCAAACAGGAUUAGAUACCCGGGUAGUC
Molecule: ribosomal RNA, 462 nt
Filed under: uncultured bacterium
Lineage: Bacteria
Description: partial 16S ribosomal RNA
Rfam family: Bacterial small subunit ribosomal RNA
Source: RNAcentral